CUUUCGCGCUUUCCUUGGUAGCUUCUCCCGACACGGGCGUUUAUCGUCUUCCUGGGGCGCCUUCCCGGAAGAAAAUGUGAUCCGUUCGAGGCGCGCGAGCUAUGCCGCUCCAUCCCCGGUAAGGAUCUUUGGCGGAGGCUAGGGUUUUGGAUCGAGAGGGUUUGAUCCGGCGAGAGAGAGAGAGAUGAAGCUGCUCAACAAGAUCUUCCACAAGAAAAACGAUCGAAGCCCCGUGUCGUCGCCGGAUGGAGGCGGCAGCGGCAGCAGUGGCAGCAGCAGUGGCCCGGCCAUGGCGAAAUAUUUCUCCAGGAGCUCGGUCAUGUCUCCAAGAACGAAAUCGGUGGAUGCCGCCAAGGUGCUGCGCGUGCUGGGCGCCGAGAACAGGGAUCAGGAGGCGCAGAUCAUCAAGCAGAUGGAAAUGCGAGCCGAGGUGGAUCCCGACUCCACGGAUGUGUCGUUCGAGGAGGUGGAGGAUCACAGGCACCCCGAGAGCUUUGCGAGGCCCACGACCCCGGGCUUCUUCUCCGAGCACAGGAGGUCUUUGGAUUCCUUCGGCGACACCUCGUCGUUCGAGAGCCGAUCCAUGUCUCCGACACCAUCUUCGCGGCUAAGUCCUGCCAACGAUCCGUGGUGUCGAUCUCCUCAAAGUCCUCUCAGUGGUAACGGGUAUAGCUUAGCGCUAGCAGCGGCAGCAGCAGUCACUCCUGGGAACACCAUGACAGAUUCUUCUCGUGUUCCACACCCUCUUCCAUCGCGAUCGCCACCUCCCGCAGCAGCAGUGUGUCCUCGUGCUGGGAAUAGUUUGCGAACCGCGGCGCCAGCUCCGUUGCCUCUCCCGAGGAAAUCACUGGGAUGCGCUCUGGAUUUCUCGCAUCGAAAGAGUUCCGAGAGGUCACCGCGCUUCUCACAGUCUCCACAGUCUCCCCGCUGGUCUCCUCUCCACUCGCCACAGAGAUCUCCUUCCCGGCUGCUAAAGUGUCAAAAGCUCCAGGAACUGGGACGUGGAUCUUUCGCGACGGUGUACGAGGGAUUCAUGGAGGAUGGGAGCUUCUGUGCUAUCAAAGUUGUGCACGACUCAAUCAUGACCGAAGAGACCACGAAGGAGGUCCAACUUCUUAGUCAGCUGAAUCACCCCAACAUUGUGAGGUACCUAGGAGCUUGCAUUGAUGAAACUGGCUCCCUCUGCAUCUUUCUGGAGCACAUGAAAUCCUCCCUGAAGACGAUACUGAACAAACUUGGCGGUUUCGAGGAGAGCACGAUACGUGCGUAUACACGUCAGAUACUUCACGGGCUGGUUUAUCUUCACGAAAAUCAUACGAUCCACAGGGACAUCAAGUGUGCAAACAUUCUAGUCGACUCUCUCGGCCAGGUCAAGCUUGCCGACUUUGGUGUUGCGAAACAGACCCCACUGGCGUCGUCUUUGAAAGGUACACCGAUUUUUAUGGCACCGGAGGUGGUGACUCCAAAUCCAUCCAAAAGAUCCUAUGGAACUGCCGUGGACAUAUGGAGCCUUGGCUGUACAAUUUUGGAGAUGUCAAUGGGGAAGCCUCCUUGGAGUGACUUGGGGUUCGGGGUUUACUUCAAACUUUCGAAAGGAGAGGCCCCUCCAAUCCCAGACAGCUUGAGUCCUAUAGCGAAAGACUUCGUUCAACAAUGCCUGCUCUUCAAUCCGGAAGACAGACCAAAAGCCAUAGAGCUUCUCCAACACCAAUUUGUAUUAAACGCGCCGUCAUCCGUGCCGUCUUUCCCCACGUCGCCGUUGGCGUCCCCAAGAGCCUCGCCAAUCAGCCACAGGCAAAGUGGUGCGAGGAGUUCACUAGUGCAAGACACGACACACUUCCAUCCAAUCGAGGGGCUGAGACGAAACGGGAACCUGACCAUGAUAACACGAGAGGACUCCGGAUUCUCAGCCGUGAUCCACAGAACUCGUCUAGAACCUCAGCAGAUGAUUUAUAGAACUCCUCUCAACUUGGGGAGAGAGCCAGAGCUUCAGGGGCUUGUGCUAUAGCUUCCCGGCAGCUGGUUUUUUGUAGAAAUGAUAUAUAAUCUGCUCCAUUGUUUCCUAAACCGUGAAGAUCUGCUGCCGCUGCUAUGCUACGAUCGACGAAUACCAGAGAAAGCUAUGAUCGACGACAGAGAAGCAACGGAGACGGAAGAGGAAGAAGAACAAGGCUACAUGACGAUGCUUGGAGGAAGCCUCGAAGGCAUGAAGACGAGACCCAUCAAGAGCACGAAGAUGAUGAGAGGGACGAGCAUGAGGAAGAGAGGCGGGGGUGGAAGUGGUGGUAGAACAAUGGGAAGGACAACGACCAGGACGGCCACCACAGCCAGCAGCGUGAGCGAAGCACAGUCGAAGUAGUUUACCAUGAACAGUGGAUCCGAGACGCUGCGAUCAGACGAACCAUCCGAGGCGGAUCUCCGUGGAUCAACUUCUACACCAUCAAGCUCGAGCUCAAACGUUUUCUUCGAAGAACACGCGCCGCAGAGACACGAGGAGGAGGAAGAGGAGGAGGAGCUCACGCUCAUCUUAGAACAAGAGGUCUUGCUCGAUCGCUCAGGCCGGAGGAGGAAGAAGAAAAGGAGGAAGAAAGGCCACUGUCUAUCAUUCUCAGGUUGUUGCAAAGAAGAGAGACAAUUACGCUGGAGAGAUGCAGUGAACUGGAGCAAAAGUCCUGGAUCGAUCACAGCAGCAGCAGCAGCAGCAGCAGCAGGAGGUUCUUUUCUUUCCAGUCCUCGAGGAAGAAGGAAGCUCUCGAAAUAUUCCCGUAAACUCUUUCGCUGUGCGGCGUCGCUGUUCUUGCGCAGCGCGAAUCACCAAGUGUAAGUGUGUGUGAGAGAGAGGUAGAGCUUAAAGCCACGGAGAGAGAGAGAGAGAAUGGAGAGAGGCCAAGUUCUUCCCCCCCUUGCUAAUGCUCUACGUCUUUUUCUCUUCUCACACCCAACAAAAGAAACAAGAAAAGAAAGAGGGGUCGCGAGAGAAUCGCCAGGAACCUUGUUCGAUUCAGAGAAGCUUUGGUGUUUUUUUAAUCUUUGCUUGAAACAUGGAGAACAAGAAUGGAGGUCGAAUUUUGGGCUUGUACAUGCAUGAUUCAGUGCUCUGCAAAUGCGUCCUCUCGGUCCCCAAAAGGAGGAAACCUCCAUUGUUGUCUCGCGAUUAUCUCUGUUUUUUUUUUUU
This is an RNA transcript of Selaginella moellendorffii, 3175 nucleotides long. It is a transcript of the gene named mitogen-activated protein kinase kinase kinase 3, with no coding region annotated. The transcript is spliced from 10 exons. Lineage: Eukaryota; Viridiplantae; Streptophyta; Lycopodiopsida; Selaginellales; Selaginellaceae. The record is from RefSeq and is a predicted model, not a curated record.